CGCUGGCGGCGUGCCUAACACAUGCAAGUCGAGCGGGGACAUGCGACGGAGUCGAAGUUUCGGAUGGAGACAAAGAUGUAUUGUCUAGCGGCGGACGGGUGAGUAACGCGUGAGCAACCUGUCCCUUACAGGGGGAUAACACAGCGAAAGUUGUACUAAUACCGCAUAAGACCACAGAGUGACAUCGCUCAGGGGUCAAAGGAGUAAUCCGGUAAGGGGUGGGCUCGCGUCCGAUUAGAUAGUUGGUGAGGUAACGGCCCACCAAGUCGACGAUCGGUAGCCGACCUGAGAGGGUGAUCGGCCACAUUGGGACUGAGACACGGCCCAAACUCCUACGGGAGGCAGCAGUGGGGAAUAUUGGGCAAAUGGGGGAAACCCUGACCCAGCAACGCCGCGUGAGGGAAGAAGGUUUUCGGAUCGUAAACCUCUGUCCUUGGUGAAGAGGAAGAGACGGUAGCCAAGGAGGAAGCCCCGGCUAACUACGUGCCAGCCGCGGC
Molecule: ribosomal RNA, 497 nt
Filed under: uncultured bacterium
Lineage: Bacteria
Description: bacterial SSU rRNA
Rfam family: Bacterial small subunit ribosomal RNA
Source: RNAcentral